AACGAACGCUGGCGGCAUGCCUAACACAUGCAAGUCGAACGAGAUCUUCGGGUCUAGUGGCGCACGGGUGCGUAACGCGUGGGAAUCUGCCCUUUGGUUCGGAAUAACAGUUGGAAACGACUGCUAAUACCGGAUGAUGACGAAAGUCCAAAGAUUUAUCGCCAGAGGAUGAGCCCGCGUAGGAUUAGCUAGUUGGUGUGGUAAAGGCGGCCCAAGGAGACGAUCCUUAGCUGGUCUGAGAGGAUGAGCAGCCACACUGGGACGGAGACACGGCCCAGACUCCUACGGGAGGCAGCAGUGGGGAAGAUUGGACAAUGGGCGAAAGCCUGGUCCAGCAAUGCCGCGUGAGUGAUGAAGGCCUUAGGGUUGUAAAGCUCUUGUACCCGGGAUGAUAAUGACAGUACCGGGAGAAUAAGCUCCGGCUAACUCCGUGCCAGCCGCCGCCGUAA
RNAcentral lists this ribosomal RNA (449 nucleotides) under uncultured bacterium. Its description in RNAcentral is "partial 16S ribosomal RNA". It matches the Rfam family "Bacterial small subunit ribosomal RNA", at positions 29 to 523 of the family's 1533-position model. The record is from RNAcentral.